GACGAACGCUGGCGGCGUGCCUAAUACAUGCAAGUUGAGCGAUGAAGAUUGGUGCUUGCACCAAUUUGAAGAGCAGCGAACGGGUGAGUAACGCGUGGGGAAUCUGCCUUUGAGCGGGGGACAACAUUUGGAAACGAAUGCUAAUACCGCAUAAUAACUUUAAACAUAAGCUUUAAGUUUGAAAGAUGCAAUUGCAUCACUCAAAGAUGAUCCCGCGUUGUAUUAGCUAGUUGGUGAGGUAAAGGCUCACCAAGGCGAUGAUACAUAGCCGACCUGAGAGGGUGAUCGGCCACAUUGGGACUGGGACACGGCCCAAACUCCUACGGGAGGCAGCAGUAGGGAAUCUUCGGCAAUGGACGAAAGUCUGACCGAGCAACGCCGCGUGAGUGAAGAAGGUUUUCGGAUCGUAAAACUCUGUUGGUAGAGAAGAACGUUGGUGAGAGUGGAAAGCUCAUCAAGUGACGGUAACUACCCAGAAAGGGACGGCUAACUACGUG
Molecule: ribosomal RNA, 497 nt
Filed under: uncultured bacterium
Lineage: Bacteria
Description: partial 16S ribosomal RNA
Rfam family: Bacterial small subunit ribosomal RNA
Source: RNAcentral